AUUGAACGCUGGCGGCAUGCUUUACACAUGCAAGUCGGACGGCAGCACAGAGAAGCUUGCUUCUUGGGUGGCGAGUGACGAACGGGUGAGUAAUAUAUCGGAACGUACCGAGUAAUGGGGGAUAACUAAUCGAAAGAUUAGCUAAUACCGCAUAUUCUCUGAGGAGGAAAGCAGGGGACCUUCGGGCCUUGCGUUAUUCGAGCGGCCGAUAUCUGAUUAGCUAGUUGGUGGGGUAAAGGCCUACCAAGGCGACGAUCAGUAGCGGGUCUGAGAGGAUGAUCAGCCACACUGGGACUGAGACACGGCCCAGACUCCUACGGGAGGCAGCAGUGGGGAAUUUUGGACAAUGGGCGCAAGCCUGAUCCAGCCAUGCCGCGUGUCUGAAGAAGGCCUUCGGGUUGUAAAGGACUUUUGUCAGGGAAGAAAAGGCUGUUGCUAAUACCGACAGCUGAUGACGGUACCUGAAGAAUAAGCACCGGCUAACUACGUG
RNAcentral lists this ribosomal RNA (490 nucleotides) under uncultured bacterium. RNAcentral describes it as "partial 16S ribosomal RNA". It matches the Rfam family "Bacterial small subunit ribosomal RNA", at positions 30 to 507 of the family's 1533-position model. The record is from RNAcentral.